UUCCGGUUGAUCCUGCCGGACCCGACUGCUAUCAGAGUGGGACUAAGCCAUGCGAGUCGACGUAGCAAUGCGUGGCGAACGGCUCAGUAACACGUAGUCAACAUGCCCAGGGGACGUGGAUAACCUCGGGAAACUGAGAAUAAACCACGAUAGGUCACGAUUUCUGGAAUGGAUCAUGGCCUAAAUCUACAUAGCCCCUGGAUUGGACUGCGGCCGAUCAGGCUGUUGGUGAGGUAAUGGCCCACCAAACCUAUAACCGGUACGGGCUCUGAGAGGAGAAGCCCGGAGAUGGGCACUGAGACAAGGGCCCAGGCCCUAUGGGGCGCAGCAGGCGCGAAACCUCUGCAAUAGGCGAAAGCCUGACAGGGUUACUCUGAGUGAUUUCCGCUAAGGGGAUCUUUUGGCACCUCUAAAAAUGGUGCAGAAUAAGGGGUGGGCAAGUCUGGUGUCAGCCGCCGCGGUAAUACCAGCACCCCGAGUGGUCGGGACGAUUAUUGGGCCUAAAGCAUCCGUAGCCGGUUCUGCAAGUCUUCCGUUAAAUCCAGCCGCUCAACGGAUGGGCCGCGGAGGAUACUACAGGACUAGGAGGCGGGAGAGGCAAGCGGUACUCAGUGGGUAGGGGUAAAAUCCUUUGAUCCAUUGAAGACCACCAGUGGCGAAGGCGGCUUGCCAGAACGCGCUCGACGGUGAGGGAUGAAAGCUGGGGGAGCAAACCGGAUUAGAUACCCGGGUAGUCCCAG
Molecule: ribosomal RNA, 740 nt
Filed under: uncultured archaeon
Lineage: Archaea
Description: bacterial SSU rRNA
Rfam family: Archaeal small subunit ribosomal RNA
Source: RNAcentral